RNAcentral lists this ribosomal RNA (253 nucleotides) under uncultured bacterium. Its description in RNAcentral is "partial 16S ribosomal RNA". It matches the Rfam family "Bacterial small subunit ribosomal RNA", at positions 524 to 776 of the family's 1533-position model. The record is from RNAcentral.
UACGUAGGGACCAAGCGUUGUUCGGAUUUACUGGGCGUAAAGGGCGCGUAGGCGGCAAUUCAAGUCAGCUGUGAAAUCUCCGGGCUUAACUCGGAACGGUCAGCUGAUACUGCUUUGCUAGAGUGCAGAAGGGGCAAUCGGAAUUCUUGGUGUAGCGGUGAAAUGCGUAGAUAUCAAGAGGAACACCUGAGGUGAAGACGGGUUGCUGGGCUGACACUGACGCUGAGGAGCGAAAGCGUGGGUAGCAAACAGG